UGGAAUGAUUUCAUGUUUAACCGUGUUUAACCAGUGUUUAACCAACAAUCUGUAUUUUCUUUCAUGAAAUUUGAAACCUGUUCCUGUACGUGCAAUAGCACAUAGCAGAUUCGUCAAUUUUGGAGAACAAGAAAAGCCACGUGAUCAGAGAGGAGAAUUGUAAUUCGUGGUAUUGCUGACCGGCAGUUCGCUGAGAGAAAUUGGAGAGACGAAGCAAUCGGAGUGCCAAUAUCGUGUGGGUGUGGUAAACCGCCAGUUGCCGUUCCGGAAUCAACAAAGGAUGUUGUCAGUCAUCAAAACUUUGUACAUGUCAAAGAAAUUUUGAGUCUACUUCUACUACUGAAUACCCACCUACAUGGUCUCAACUCUCAAAAGUUCACGGACUAAAAAAAGU
This is a long non-coding RNA of Daphnia pulicaria, 394 nucleotides long. RefSeq lists it as uncharacterized. The record is from RefSeq and is a predicted model, not a curated record. NCBI's taxonomy places the organism in Eukaryota, Metazoa, Arthropoda, Branchiopoda, Diplostraca, Daphniidae. The transcript has 3 exons.